This 300-nucleotide unclassified non-coding RNA is filed under the name uncultured Knufia. Its description in RNAcentral is "sequence contains 5.8S rRNA gene, ITS2". The stretch from base 1 to 73 matches the Rfam family "5.8S ribosomal RNA", at positions 82 to 154 of the family's 154-position model. Lineage: Eukaryota; Fungi; Ascomycota; Eurotiomycetes; Chaetothyriales; Chaetothyriaceae. The record is from RNAcentral.
CAGUGAGUCAUCGAAUCUUUGAACGCACAUUGCGCCCACUGGUAUUCCGGUGGGCAUGCCUGUUCGAGCGUCAUUAUCCUCCCUCAAACCCCGGGUUUGGUGUUGGACCCAAGUUGUGUGAACAACUGGUCUCAAAGACAAUGACGGCGUCCGUGGGACCCUCGGUGCAACGAGCUUUUAAACGAGCACGCGUCGAGUUUCAAGGACCUUCCGGGCCGGUCUCCUUCUUUUAUUUACAAAGGUUGACCUCGGAUCAGGUAGGAAUACCCGCUGAACUUAAGCAUAUCAAUAAGCGGAGGA